Molecule: long non-coding RNA, 6477 nt
Organism: Gallus gallus (chicken)
Lineage: Eukaryota; Metazoa; Chordata; Aves; Galliformes; Phasianidae
Exons: 2
Source: RefSeq, a predicted model, not a curated record
GAUGGCUACAAAAAGCAAACAGAUUAUUUGUAUUACAAUUUCUGGAUUUUUAACCUCUAGACUCAUUACAGGCCAGCCAAUUAGUCUGCAUACUUUGCAAAGCACUGCAUAUCCUGAAAGGCAAUCCUAGACAAGCUCCUGCAGCUGCCAUGUGGGAUCUCCCUUCCAAGAACCAGUGCAGAGGAAUGACUCACCACCAUACAACCACUUUUUACUAUCUCAGUUAGACUUUUUAAAUACAGAACCGAUCCUCAGAAGACUGUGCAUCUUUAAGCAGAUUCAAACUCAGACUGAUCAAUUUUCAUUCAUUUUUGAGGAUGUAAUGAAAAUGGCUUCAUCGUUCACCACUAGCAGAAUUCAUUUUUUAAUCACUUUGCAAAGAGUUCACAAUGCCAUUUCUCAAUCAUUAGUGUUUAGAUAAGCAAAUGGAACUAGCAUCAGAAGACAAUUUUUCCAUCAGUAGAUGCAAAUAUUUUAUGUUUAAAAAGAUAAACUUUGGAAAACAACAAUACCCAUAAAAGGAGGCUUUUGUGUUCUAUCACAUAAAAGGAGGCUUUUGUGUUCAGUGGUGUUUCAGCACCACUGAAAUUGUUCUACAGCUUUCUGUAGGUUAUUCUUUUUUUGGUCCUCCUCCUCCUUGUUUAAUGUUUUGUUAAUGAAAAGUUACUUGAAGGGAGAAGAUAUCAAGCCAAUAGCAUUCUUUAUAAGCAACACUGCAGCGUUGCUGGCUAUGUGUGCCACUUAACAAAGCCAGUAAUGUCAACACGUGCCAUCUAAGCAGAUAAUUAUCUGGAACUGCCUCUUCAUGAGCCAGUAUAGUGACAGCAGUCACAUACCACAUGCAGAAAAACACCACCAAGCUAGUGGAGUGCAAAAUCUGAUCCAAUGGUAAACACAGUACUAAAACUAAUUAAAAACAAAGGGACCUCUUGUGCGACAGAACUGCUCAACAAUGCAGACUCACCUGGAAUCCUUCAAUUCAGUAAAAAGUAGGGACCCCUCAUCACUUUUCAAAUCGCUGCCAUUCAUAAAUACUUCGCUGGCCUUCGACUCUGUCACAGCGUGCUGCUCCGACUCUGUACACAUUAAGCUCCGUGCAGUCUGCACACAACCCUCUGUCUCCCCUUUGACUUCCUGGGUUAAGUCAAUGCCAUUUAGCUUUCCUGAAGGGGUGGGGGAAAGAAAAACAACAUAACACAGCUUCAGGAACAGUGCUGCCAUUCUAAAUGAAUAAAAUACAAGUGUCAAAUUGACCUUCCUUGCCAAAAAUCUGAGGCACUCUGUUUCAAUACAGAAAUCCAUUUAUGGACAAGCUGGCUCUAACAACGUAGCUGUUUUCCAUCUUUAAAAAUACACUCAUGCAGAGUGUAUUUUUCUCACACAAAUCGUUUCACAUUUCAUCAUUUUGGAUUUCUUCCGUGGUCUGGAAUUGGGCUUAAGAAGAAAGAUCUUAAGUAAAAAGACUCUGUGGUACUUCUGGGACUUCUGUCUGUUAACCACAAUUGAUGCCAUUAACUGAUUUGACAUUUUUAACACACCUUAAACAUCACUGAGACACUGACAGCAACUUAGAUCUGACUCAUCACAUUUCCUUACCGGGUUGAUCAGCCUUCUCAAGUCCCAGCUCUUCCUCCUCUUCAAUAUCCUCUCCCUCCAUGACCUCACAGGCAGACUUUCCUUCAUUCUGCAACUGAAUUCCCAUAGCGUUACUCACAACAGCUCACCACCAAGAAGUUCAAGAAGCUUUUCACAAAUGGUUCAGUCGCAGCUCCCACACAGGGCUGUUCUGCACCGAGCAGCAAUGCCACACUAUUCCAGAGGCUAACAGACAACCUGCAUCCAUGGCUGGGACAGGGAGUCAACUGAGAGGGCUGCUGGAGCUGACUCUGAGUUUUCAGGUCACUCAACAACAAGCAGAUCUGCUGAGCCAGAGCAUGUAAACAUGUGGGAGACCCACUUCCAUCCCCUGCCUAGGAAAUACUCCUGAGUUCCCUUUCCCCUCAUUUCUCCAAGGUGUGCAAUAAAUUUAUAUGUUUUCAGCCACAUGGAAUCAAAAUAGGAUGGCAUUUUGAACAGUAAGAGAAGGAUGAUGACUGUUUAAGAAAAGUAAAAUCCACCACUAACCAGUGUUUUUUGGACCUGGCCAGCAAGUGGUAAUGCCAGAUCACAUUGUUUCUGUAUGCCUUGAACAAAAAGGCAUCAGACAAAGACUUCUGAAACAGUAAUGCAAAAGGAUGUGUAUGAUGUAUACAAGCUACUGAAAACUAUUCUGGUACACUAGAACUUGGACCUUCACAUGUAAGGCAGCUUGAGGGUAACAGAAGAACAAAGGUUACAAAACAAAGACAAAGUCUUCUCUGGAAGAGUCACUACACAGAUCUAAGCAGAUAAGUACCUUGGAUUCGUUUUGAUCCGAUUUUCGUGUUCUUUUCAUUAUUUCUUCAAUUCUCUGUUAAGAAGCGGAAAACAUUUGCAAUGACAGAGUUUUAUAUUUCAGCACCUGGUUUAAAUUUUCCAUCAGUCAUCAUAUAUUUUCUUAUUUCACACACUUACUACUUCACUCACUGUUUUUAAAGCUCAGAAGUCACAGCUGACUUAAAAACAACUCCUACUACUUCUGCUUAAAUGAAUCUGAGACAGACUGCCUGCUCAGUUUAUUUUAAUGCUAACACUUAACCCCUGUUCUAAGGGUAAGGGACUUCUCUGCUUUCAAAACAUCAUACCUUCUUUCUUUCAAGCCUUUCCUGCAUAUUUUGCUGCAUAAUUCUCUCUCUUUCCAGCCGCUGCCUUUCAGCUUCUUCUUGAGCCUUUGCUUCAGCUUCUUCCCUCUGAAAAUAAAGAAAACAGAAAGAAAAGCAUCCAAUGAAGAACUCAUCUCCAAGAAUUAAAAGCAGACCUGUUACAGAGAUUCUGGUGUAACACAGACAGGAACCUCAAUCACUAUUUAAUAGAAGCACACAUUGCAGCUAAAUGCCAACCAUACAGCUACUGACGUGACAUUUAUAUUACUGUGACAUUCAGAAACUGACUUGAAAAGAAAAACAGUACGCAUGGCUAUAUUAUCAUUAUGCAAAUGUUCAGGAUGUUGUUGGGCUACUUAGGGUUCAAACUUCAUGACAAAGUUUUUCCAAGAAGAAUAAUUUAUGGAGUAGCAGAACAGCAAGUGAAUUCUGUAUUAUGUAUUCUGUAUAUGUACCAUCUCACUGUAAAGCUGCUUUGAUUUUCUACAUCAAUCUCAUUUAAAGAAAGUCCACUUUUUUCAAAGCAGAGUUUCCUUCACUUAGAAAGAUGCCUUUAUAAAGGCACAAAGGGAUUAGCUGUGGAAAACUAUUUACCAAUUAGAAAAGCAGACUUGGAAGCACUGCUGAUCUUUCUUUUUGCUCACGUGGGAACAGAGGACAUCAGAUGACUUUCCGGGCAGACCAACUAUUUUCUUAUAACUCACAGCAGUAUGUUGGUUAAACAGUCAUAAUACAGAUACUUGCACAUGUGCAAAAUAACAUCCCAGAUGGCUAAAAAAAACCCCAAAGAACUUCAAAACGUGUGCUUCUGUCCCAUACUUGAACCUACCAAACGCUGACAGAAAUCACACAGAUGAAAGCAAGGCAAGGACUUCACAACAUUCUCCAACCAAUCUCAGGUGAAAGCAAACCUGGUGCUGAAGCUCUGCGAGCUUUUCCUGCUCUUCCUGUUCUCGGCGGAUUCUCUCCUCUUCAGCUUGUCGUUGUUGUUCCUCAUAAAUGAGCCUCUUUUCUUCCUCCUGCUUGCGGAGCUCCUCUUCCCGUCGUGCCUUUUCUUCAACCGCUCUCUUGGCCAUUUCUUCUUCUCUGAUUCUAGUGGUGCCAAGAUAGAAAUGUGCAUUUGUAAGCAUGCAUGCCUGUGAGACAGCCGAGGAAAGCAAGGAUUUCUACUUCAGCCAAUCACAGAGUAGCUGUAUAAGAACAGUUCCUGCUGUAGAUUCACAGAUGUCACCAUCCAGAUCAGUCCAAGGCAAUGCAGAAACACUUGGAGGAAACUAUGUGCACCUAGAUGUUCUUUGCUGAUUAAGACAAGCCCAAGACCAGUUGUUUCAAUAAUGGAAUGUUCCAUUCAGACAUGUAUUAUGAGACAACAACUUAACAACAGUCACUGCAUCCCUGAUAUGAAUGCAACUUUCAGUGUCUAACAAAUCUAGUCAGAUUUUAGAAAAGACUUUCCUCUCUAGCCAUAGUUCCAGUGAUACACUGGAGGUGUCACACUGGCAUACACAUGCAACCUGAUCCAAUAUGGGCAUGACAUAUUGCUGAUAAAACAUCAGUAUCAGACUGCAUUUAAUUUUCAGCCAGCGUUAUACCUGUGAGUAGAAAACAUACAAAAUGUGAUACUGUAAUGUUCAGAGAAGCACAGACUAAUCCCUCAUCUGGAGUAAAGUCAGCACAAAGCUGUAAUUUUUAACGACUUCUAUCUGGCAAACCAAAGGUAUUCUGAUUUGUUGCUUUGAAUUAUUUGGCUGCAACAUUUCUGAUCCAGAUGUGGGACCAGUAGAACGAGAUUUCACACACUCACCGCCUGAGUUCAUCAGAGGGAAGUUUUGUACAGAGAGGCUGAAUAUUUCAAGAUGACAAAGCAUAGAGUGUAAGAAGCACAUUCUAGAUUUGAAAAAGAAGUAGCAAGGGUGACUGUUUGGAAAAGAAAGCACUGUGACCAUGCAUCCCGUAUGUACUGAGGUACAGAUUAACGAUAUACACAGCAACUUGUCCCAUCUCAAACUUAACACUUAGGGAAACAUACAGCUGAAAUGUCCACACCACCCACACCCACUGCAGGAAGCGUCACUUCCUUCUCCCGCAGUUACCUUUCCUCUUCCUGCCUCUGAAUUCUCUCUUGGUCUUCCCUCUCUCUCUGCUCCCGUGCUAAACGCCGUUUUUCUGCCAAGAUUUUAGCAGCUUCUUCAGCUGUGGUGGUCCCGGCUGCUGCUUUGCUACCUGACUCUGCAAAGUGGAAAAGAAACUGCUGUUAAAAAGGCCUGGUAACUUAAAAUUAAGAAAGAUGCCAUCACCAUCUGAUGACAAUUCUUUUUUUGCCACUACCACUGGGAUCAGCCCCACCACCCAGCAGCAAGCAUCUCUGCAUACAGAGACCCACGUGAGCCAAAGAGUGGUCCUAAAGGGGUGCCCAAUGAUGCUGAAAUAAUUCAUUUCAACCACACUGUUCCAGCCAUGCUGCAGACAAUAUGGUUAAUGAUACCCUCCAAUUACCACAGAACUUUAUAACAUAUUCCUAGAAGACAGACUCAUUCUGGAACAAUUAGAAGCAUCUAAAGAAAAGGGGGAAAAAAUUGCUUUAGGAAAUACAUUAAAUUUCCUUCCGAUAAAACGAAACCUACAUUCAUAAUUACAAAGAGGAAAUACUAAUUUUUAAAUUUGUCUUCUUUCAAUAACAUUAACAUUAAUGCCUUUGUAUUUAUAGAGUAUCAUCAUUUUACCUGGCCUCGAAGGCUCACACUAAUUACUUCAGUAAUAUCGUGUGUUCGCAACAAAUCACUUUCCAAUUUACAUGCAGAUGAGAACGGCUCCAGCUACCAGGUUAACAGGUUUUUAUACAGCCCUGCCAUUUAUGGCUGCCUGGUGUCACCACGUCUGAACCUCAGAGAUACUAUUAUAAAUUAACAUUAAAAAAACCCCACAAACAAAUCUCGUCAGCCAGUCACAUUCAAUAAACGUUUAAAGAACUCUGAUUGCUAUCAGUUAUCCCCACUCCCUAUAAAUAUGACUUUUUCCAUGACAGUAGGUCAUCCACGUAUUCACAGAAUUAGCUCUCAGUGUCAGCAGAGCAAUACCAGGAGAAUAUUGGGGAGGAAUGCCUUUCUUUUUUAAUAUUUCACAAAUUAGCACAUCCAUGUCUGCUUAACAUUUACAAAGCCUUCCAGCUGAGGUCAUUUCAACAAACGUGACAUCAGUUAUUUUUUGCUUCCGAGCUGAAGACAAAAUAUUCAAAAACACAAUGCCAUCAAUUAGGCACUUUAAUACCAAAAAUCUGCUUACGUCCCACGGACACAUCGUUGCUACCUGCGGCUACAAAGCCUCAUUUCACCAAGUACACUCUCAGCAGCUGAAUCAGCCUCGUGUUUUGUGCGUAAGAACUGUCCUUACAGCCCCAGGGAAAAGAUUCCAUACUGGCAGAGAGCAGCCACCAGCUCUAGCACACACUGCAUGUGCCUGGAGUAAGAGCCUCAGUCACAGAAAGGAGCUCACCUUCUUUGGUCUUUGUGUUAGCUGCUACUGCAUCCCUGUCCAAGGCUGACGGGGCACCGUGCUCAUGUCCCGCUCCUUCUGUGCUCUUCUCCUUUGGUUUGCUCUCUGCUUCAGUUUUCUUUUUGGUAAUGUUGAUAACACCUGGUGUGAGAGGUGGGCGUUGGAUGGGCGCUGGUUUAGAGACGGGAGUAGGAGAUGGCGGCCUUUGUUUCGAUAUGCCAGGCGAAGGCGGGCGAGUCUUCUG